Molecule: small nuclear RNA, 107 nt
Organism: Arvicola amphibius (Eurasian water vole)
Lineage: Eukaryota; Metazoa; Chordata; Mammalia; Rodentia; Cricetidae
Source: RefSeq, a predicted model, not a curated record
GUGCUUGCUUUGACAGCACAUAUACUAAAAUUGGAACUAUACAGAAAAGAUUAGUUUGGUCCCUGUGCAAGGAUGCCACGCAAAUUCAUGAAGUACUCCAUAGUAAA